AACGACUCUCGGCAACGGAUAUCUCGGCUCUCGCAUCGAUGAAGAACGUAGCGAAAUGCGAUACUUGGUGUGAAUUGCAGAAUCCCGUGAACCAUCGAGUCUUUGAACGCAAGUGGCGCCCCAAGCCUUCUGGCCGAGGGCACGUCUGCCUGGGUGUCACA
RNAcentral lists this ribosomal RNA (161 nucleotides) under Sinapidendron frutescens. Its description in RNAcentral is "5.8S ribosomal RNA". It matches the Rfam family "5.8S ribosomal RNA". From Rfam's summary of the family: 5.8S ribosomal RNA (5.8S rRNA) is a component of the large subunit of the eukaryotic ribosome. It is transcribed by RNA polymerase I as part of the 45S precursor that also contains 18S and 28S rRNA. Lineage: Eukaryota; Viridiplantae; Streptophyta; Magnoliopsida; Brassicales; Brassicaceae. The record is from RNAcentral.